Gallus gallus (chicken) is the source of this 2869-nucleotide long non-coding RNA. RefSeq lists it as uncharacterized. The record is from RefSeq and is a predicted model, not a curated record. NCBI's taxonomy places the organism in Eukaryota, Metazoa, Chordata, Aves, Galliformes, Phasianidae. The transcript has 6 exons.
AGGCUGGCAGAGAGGUAACCACCCCAGCAAGUGUGGUGGAAGGUGAGGCAGUCUGCUCUGUGCUUGACAGGAGCACCGGAGCCUCACAGCAUCUGGUCAUGAGCUCUGCAACUACGAGAAUUGUGCUAAAGAAGAACCUGAGGGAAGAAGGGCUGCCUAAGACUGAGGUUCCCUUUUUUAACCUCUGCAGUGAUUUGAAGAGGAUUGCCAUUGCACCCUGAAAGUUCACCAAUUCAAAUAUGCUAUAUUUCUGGGAAGAGAGGCCCAAGCUAUCAUUGGACUGGUGUGUGCUACUUCACCAUGUAUCCUGCCCACGAUAGUUCCUUCGAGAUGUUACUGAAUUACAAGGUCUGAGAAAUCCCAACCACUAGCCAACAGAUCCCUAAGAACAGCAUCAAGACACAAAGGGAUGUGUUCUUCACUUUCUGCCUGUGGCCCUCAAAGGAAGGAAGUUGCCAGCACAACGUGUGUGUGCAUCCAGAAAUCUCAAAAUCGGCGAAAGAUGCUUUGACGUCAGUUUCUUGACCCUUGAUUCUGUCCUGACUAGAACAAAAUCUCUGCCUAGACAACACCAUGAAGGAGCACUUCAGCGCUGUGUGACAACCAAUGAGCCUUUCAGCUAACAUGCCCAACGUCUGCUAAAUGGACACAGGGAGAUGCUUGGCUGGUUCCUGACUUGAAGGAUAAAUACACGCUGAGAUGAAACUGACUUCCCGCAAGAAUGUAACUGUCUCUAUUUGGCACAGUUGCCUACUAAUGAUUAAUGAUUCAGAAGUCUUAACUCUGUAAAAUUAGGUUGAAAUUGCCCAAGUGGUGUCCUAAGUUAGUAGUGAAAGGACUGGAACAGACACGAGUACAAGUUACAUGUUCUAGUUCUGUUGGAAAACAGAAAAGAAUUAUCAUAGAAUCACAGAAUGGCUUGUGUUGGAAGGGACCUUUAUGAUUAUCAAAUUCCAGCCCCCUGCUGUGGGCCGGGUGGCCACCCACCAGAUCAGGCUGCCCAAAGCCUCAUCCAACCUGGCCUUGAACACCUACAGUGAUGGGGCAUCCACAGCUUCUCUGGGCAGCCUGGGCCACUGCCUCACCACCCUCUGAGUAAAUAAUUUCCUCCUAACAUUCAAUCUAAAUGUCCCCUCUUUUAGUUUAAAGCCAUUCCCCCUUGUUCUAUCACUGUCUGCACAUGUAAUAUUAUGUUAACAAGACAUCAUUUUAAAGAAGAGCCAUCCUGGGAAGUGGUGAUCAGCUUCUCUCAUGUGUUUUAAGUCAGGGAUCGCUUAUCCAAAAAGAAGAGACAGACUGACUGUUCGAGAAUUUGCUUUAUCUUGCUCAUCAUGUAUAUAUUUUAGUUAGGGACUAAAAUAAAAUAUUUAAGGUAUCAGAAAAACAGGAGGACUUGCAGUGACUGUUUCCCCAACAGACUUUUUGCAGACUGCUCACAUAUGUCAGCGAUACAAAGUGGUGCAUUUGCUGAGGUAAAAAGACUCUGCGCCAGAGGGCUGUAGAACACAUUGCCUCCUCCCUUGGGGCUUCAGGUACCUGCUGCAAGACACUUUGCUAUCCCUUUCCGUAAAUAAUAAAUGCAAUUACUGUUGUUGUUUCCUGGCCUACAUGGCUACGACUGCUGGGUUUUCAUCUGAGUUAUGGUUUUGAGCAAGCUGAGGAUUUUGGUUUUGAUGAGAGCUUGCUGAUCAUCUGCUGUGUUUAUUCGUGGCAUCAGAUAUUUCCCAAGAUAUGGAUCCUAAAUAUUGUGGUUCACAUUCUGUUUUGAAGGAAAAACAGUAUACUUAUCCAGAAGAGUUUUUUGAAAACCAAUUUAUAAUUUAUCUUUUUUACUGUUGCUGUCAACAGUCAUCUGUAGUUAGUUUGAAAUGACCUGAAUAUAAUAUUUUUAUUCUAUUUACUAGUUGAGUAAUUCCCAUAGAUAAUUCUUGGUUUAGGAAUUGUUUUGUUUGUGAACUUCAAGCAGGCCAGGUAACUGCCUGUUCCCUGUCCAGCCAAACCCUUCAGGAUGACCUUUCUGUUAAAUCCAGGUAAAAUGUCAAGAACUCUUGUCUGUUGAGUGUUUCUUCAUAGUUGCUUGUGAUGCAUUUUAUUCACCUACUUAGAAAAAGUAUACAGAAAUUGUCAGCACAGUAAAAGUAAACUGGAGUUAUUCAUGCAAAUAACUCUUCGUGGUUUAAAAAAAUGUCGCUUUUUGCAUCUUGUAUUUUGUGCUUAUUAAAUGUGAGUGGAAUAGAUUAGUAUAAUGAAUAUAAAUUUCUGCUAAAACAGUCAAAUGAAGAAGUAGAUGCUUUCUGGGAGAUAUUACUGAGCUAAAUGUGAGGUCCUGGUCUCUCUUAAAGUAUAAAUUGAUUAGACGAUGUCAGACCAGCUGAUGCAGUGGUAUCUCCUCAUUUAAAGUCUUAUGAUUUAUCUAUGCCAUAGAUAUUGUACACACCUCUGUAUUUGAGUUAUGUCUUGCACUUAACUUCUUUGUGGUACUUAGCAUUGACAGGGGAAGAACAUUUACAUUUUAAAGUGAUUUUUACUGUAAGUUAGUGGCACUAUCUGUGUACUCUUGCAGUCUGUCUAUAAAUAUGAGGGUGCUCUAAAGGUAAUGCCUCCUAUUUUAUUAUUUUGGCCCAUGAAAUUGAAAGCAGAUGUCAGUGGAAUGGUAGGAGAUGUUGAACCUUCCUGACAAUAUUCCGUUACGUGUUGUUGCCAUGUGACAGAUGGCAGCAGAGGGGCAGUCUGACAGAAUGGCAUCUGACAUGGAAGUGCGUACGAAGCAAAGGUGUGUCACUCAGUUCCUCUAUGUGGAAACAAUGGCUUGCAGCGACAUUGAAGCUUGCUGGACAUUUGUGGGGACCAAGCAGUGGAUGUGAGCACA